GACGAACGCUGGCGGCGUGCUUAACACAUGCAAGUCGAACGGAAAGGCCCUUCGGGGUACUCGAGUGGCGAACGGGUGAGUAACACGUGGGUGAUCUGCCCUGCACUUUGGGAUAAGCCUGGGAAACUGGGUCUAAUACCGAAUAGGACCGCGCGCUUCAUGGUGUGUGGUGGAAAGCUUUGGCGGUGGGGGAUGGGCCCGCGGCCUAUCAGCUUGUUGGUGGGGUAAUGGCCUACCAAGGCGACGACGGGUAGCCGGCCUGAGAGGGUGACCGGCCACACUGGGACUGAGAUACGGCCCAGACUCCUACGGGAGGCAGCAGUGGGGAAUAUUGCACAAUGGGCGCAAGCCUGAUGCAGCGACGCCGCGUGAGGGAUGACGGCCUUCGGGUUGUAAACCUCUUUCACCAGGGACGAAGCGCAAGUGACGGUACCUGGAGAAGAAGCACCGGCCAACUACGUG
RNAcentral lists this ribosomal RNA (462 nucleotides) under uncultured bacterium. RNAcentral describes it as "partial 16S ribosomal RNA". It matches the Rfam family "Bacterial small subunit ribosomal RNA", at positions 28 to 507 of the family's 1533-position model. The record is from RNAcentral.